CCUACGGGCGGCAGCAGUGGGGAAUAUUGGACGAUGGGGGCAACCCUGAUCCAGCCAGGCCGCGUGUGUGAAGAAGGCCCUCGGGUUGUAAAGCACUUUCAGUGAGGAAGAACGCCUGGUGGUUAAUACCCAUCAGGAAAGACAUCACUCACAGAAGAAGCACCGGCUAACUCCGUGCCAGCAGCCGCGGUAAUACGGAGGGUGCGAGCGUUAAUCGGAAUUACUGGGCGUAAAGCGCGCGUAGGUGGCUUGAUAAGCCGGUUGUGAAAGCCCCGGGCUCAACCUGGGAACGGCAUCCGGAACUGUCAAGCUAGAGUGCAGGCGAGGAAGGUAGAAUUCCCGGUGUAGCGGUGAAAUGCGUAGCGAUCGGGAGGAAUACCAGUGGCGAAGGCGGCCUUCUGGACUGACACUGACACUGAGGUGCGAAAGCGUGGGUAGCAAACAGGAUUAGAUACCCUUGUAGUC
Molecule: ribosomal RNA, 465 nt
Filed under: Vreelandella stevensii
Lineage: Bacteria; Pseudomonadati; Pseudomonadota; Gammaproteobacteria; Oceanospirillales; Halomonadaceae
Description: partial 16S ribosomal RNA
Rfam family: Bacterial small subunit ribosomal RNA
Source: RNAcentral